AGAGAUAUUAAGGAAUAGUGAUUGUUGCUUCCUGUUAGUUUUGAUGUUAUUUUUAUGUUUGUGUGGCUAUCUUCUUUUGUGUUUGUUGAAAGAAGAUUAAUUUCUUUUUCUAGGGUGUAGUUUUCCUCUUUGUGUUAGAGUAUUCUAUCUAUUAUACUGUAUAAGGCUGAAUUUGUGGUAAGAUACCUUAUAGAUUUGGUUUUGUCAUGGAAUAUCUUGGUUUCUCCAUCUAUGGUAAUUGAGAGUUUUGCUGGGUAUAGUAGCCUGGCUGGCAUUUGUGUUCUCUUAGAUUCUGUAAGACAUCUGCCCAGGAUCUUCUGGCUUUCAUAGUCUCUGGUGAGAAGUCUGGUGUAAUUCUGAUAGGUCUGCCUUUAUAUGUUACUUGACCUUUUUCCCUUACUGCUUUUAAUAUUCUUUCUUUGUUUUGUGCAUUUGGUGUCUUGACUAUUAUGUGACAGGCGGAAUUUCUUUUCUGGUCAAAUCUAUUUGGAAUUCUGUACACUUGUAUGUUUAUGGGCAUCUCUUUCUUUAGGUUAGGGAAGUUUUCUAUAAUUAUGUUGAAGAUAUUUACUGGCCCUUAAAUUUGGAGUCUUCAUUCUCUUCUAUAACUAUUAUCCUUAGGUUUGGUCUUCUCAUUGUGUCUUGGAGUUCCUGCAUGUUUUGGGUUAGGAGCUUUUUGCAUUUUGCAUUUUCUUUGACUGUUGUGUCAAUGUUUUCUAUGAUAUCUUCUGCAUCUGAGAUUCAAUCUCUUGUAUUCUAUUGGUGAUGUGUGUGUCUGUGACUUCUGAUCUCUUUCCUAGGUUUUCUAUUUUUCAGGGUUGUGUCCUUUUGUGAUUUCUUUACUGCUUCUAUUUCCAGUUUUAGAUCCUGCAUGGUUUUGUUCAAUUCCUUCACCUGCUUGGUUGUGUUUUUAUGUAAUAUAUUAAGGGGUUCUUUGUUUUCUAUGUAAGGGCUUCUAGCUGUUUACCUGUGUUCUCUUGUAUUUCUUUAAGGGAGCUAUGUAUGUCCUUUGUAAAGUCCCCUAUCAUCAUCAUAUCAGACACAUACACAUACUUUUUAAUUAUUGGUCUGUUAAUUUUUAUAUUCUUGCUGUGUCUCUUUGAUUCUCUUUUAAUUUCUUCAAAGUUUUUUUUUUCUACCUUUUAGUAUAUUUUACUUUUGCUGCAGUAGAUACUGUGGCCCCGUAACAGGAACCAAGGUAAAUAAAUAGAUAGACCUUAAGUAAUAUAGUGGCGUAAGGAAUGGGCAGAGAAAGCUUUCUAUAUCUGUAUAAUUGUCUUAGUCCGUAAGUCUUUCUGUGACCUGAAUUCUAAAUUUCACAAUCCCUUUCUCAGCUUUAACCAUCCCUUUUCCUCUCUAGAGAGGAGACAAUGGCUGUACUGAUCUGAGUUGCUCUCCACUCGUGCUCCUGCCUGGCCCUCGGGCUGCAAAGUCUCCAUGCCAACUUGGGGGCUCUGCCUCCCCCCCCCCUUCCCCUUCUGAAAGUUCAGCAUAUCUGGGUAUAGCAGGGUAUAGCUAGCUGGCUAUCUUCUAAGAUAGAACUUGUUAAGAACAGAAUGCUUUGGACUGGGUCUGACAACAUGAGUUGAUUUCCAUGGUGGAUGGAAAGAACCACAGCUUUGAGAACAAUUUCUUGUGACCUCUACACAUGUAUAUCCAACUUAGCAAACCCCACCCCACCAUAAAUCAAGAACAUUAAACAAACAAAAAACUAGAAGAGAAUUUCUAAGUAUUCUCCAGUGGUUCCUUUCUGAGAAGCACUGAGAGGUCUUCUCCCUAAAUCCCCUCUGAGAACCUGCUAGAAUUUCUUCAGGUGAAAUUCAUAAAUGUAAUUGUCUUCUUCUGGCAUGUGUGCCUUUGCCUGGUCUAUGCCUUUAGAAUAGCUACCUUGUAACAAUUCCCCAGUUUUAGUUUAGCUGCUUGACCUUGUCCAGUGUUCUGUCGAGGUAAGUUGUUCUUCUCUGAUUGGCUUCUCUGGUUUGUGACUUCACUUUUCUGACAACAGAAGAGUUGAUAAUCUUUCAGUUUGUUAAGCUUUUCACUUGUUUUAGAAUAAACUAAAGACUUGAUUUCACCCAGGAUUUCUCACUGAACCUGGAACUCACUGAUACAGCAAAUCUUAUUGGCAGUGAGCUCAGGGGACCGUGUGUCUUUGUAUUCCCAAUGCUAGUAUCAUGUAGUCAUAUAGUCCGUUCCACUAAGGACUUCAUGCUUGUACGGCUGUGAAGUCUAAACUGGACAGUCUGGAAAAGAGGAGCAUCUGGGAGGCUUGGGGUAAUGGGAGGGGCAGGUAAAAUGUAAUUUCAGAAAGUCAACCUCUGGUAUGCAACUCUGGGCUGAACAUAGGUGGACAUAAAGGUAUACACACAGACCAUCAAACAGGCUGCAGAGAAGUAGGCAGAACGACCUACAGGCCAGCAACAGACAUGCUGGUGAAGGGCAUAUUUUUAGAAAAACAAAAACAAAACCACAAUAAUGGCAUGUGGCCAGGAGUAGUUAUAUAACGUGUGCAUCCAUUUCUGUCUGUGGCUUUUAUAUUAUUUUUUUCACCAUAAGAGUGUGUGUGUGUGUGCUGUAUUGCAUUAUAUUACAUUGCAUACUGUAUGUAGAGGUCAGAGUGGGGCUGAUUACAUAGCUCUGGCUAUUGUGGAACUAAGUAUGUAGACCCAGUCUUUCUCCACUCUUGUUUCUGACUCAAGAUAGUUUCUGUACCUGGCUCUCCUGGUUAUCGAGGGAAAAAUCUAUAAGUUUUUGACCAAUAUUUGGCACCUCCUCAGAAUGGCUGCGUUUCUUUUGUCUCCUUGCCACUGUUGAUGACAGAGCCUUCUUUGUGCAACAGUAGGGUACCAGCAUGGUUUUUAUUUUAUUUUUAAUUUUUUUUUUUUUUCGAGACAGGGUUUCUCUAAAGCCCUGGCUGUCCUGGAACUCAUGCCGGUCUUGAACAUCUAGAGAUCUGCCUGCCUCUGCCUCUAGAGUCCUGGGAUUAAAGAUGCCCUGCAUAAAAUAUAUUCUUAAUUAUUAAAUUGCUUGUAAAUCACAAUAGGUCAAUAUUUGCAUGCAUAAAGGGACUCUCAUUACAGCCAAAUAGGUUUUUUUUUUUCCCCUAGAGGAAAGGAUACAAAGACUGUAUCAUGUAGAUGGGGAGAUGGCUCAGUAGUUAAGAGCAUUGUUUGUUCUUGUAGAGGACACAGAUUUGGUUGCUAGUGUUCACAUGGUGGGUAACAGCCAUUUGUAAUUCCAGUUCCAAAAGAUCUGACACCCUCUUUUGUCCUUUGUAGGAACUGCACACUUGUGGUACAUAGACAAGACACCCAUAUACAUAGAAUAAAAACAAGUGAAGCUUUAAAAAAAAAAAAAACACAUCAGUAUAUGAAAAAAGGACACGGGGAGGGGUUGUUUUGGCGCCGUGGUUCAGUGAGUUAGAGCACUGUUGCUCUUGUUGAGGACCUGGGUUCAAUCCUCAGCACUCACAUGAUGGCUCUCAACCACACAUAACUAGAGUAAUUCCAGGGGUGUCUGACCCCUUUCAAACAUGCACGUGCUGUACCACCUUUAUACGUGCAGGUGAGACACUGAUAAAUAC
RNAcentral lists this long non-coding RNA (3583 nucleotides) under Mus musculus (house mouse). RNAcentral's name for it is "long non-coding RNA chr2:18151729-18155312". The record is from RNAcentral. Lineage: Eukaryota; Metazoa; Chordata; Mammalia; Rodentia; Muridae.